Molecule: ribosomal RNA, 870 nt
Filed under: uncultured marine bacterium
Lineage: Bacteria
Description: bacterial SSU rRNA
Rfam family: Bacterial small subunit ribosomal RNA
Source: RNAcentral
AUUGAACGCUGGCGGCAGGCCUAACACAUGCAAGUCGAACGGUAACAGGAUAGCUUGCUAUCGCUGACGAGUGGCGGACGGGUGAGUAAUACUUAGGGAUCUGCCUCUGUGUGGGGGAUAACUAUUGGAAACGAUAGCUAAUACCGCAUAAUGUCUCCGGACCAAAGAGGGCUUUUAGCUCUCGCGCAGAGAGGAACCUAAGCGAGAUUAGCUAGUUGGUGAGGUAAAGGCUCACCAAGGCGACGAUCUCUAGCUGUUCUGAGAGGAAGAUCAGCCACACUGGAACUGAGACACGGUCCAGACUCCUACGGGAGGCAGCAGUGGGGAAUAUUGCACAAUGGGGGAAACCCUGAUGCAGCCAUGCCGCGUGUGUGAAGAAGGCCUUCGGGUUGUAAAGCACUUUCAGUUGUGAGGAAAGUUUAGUAGUUAAUACCUGCUAGAUGUGACGUUAGCAACAGAAGAAGCACCGGCUAACUCCGUGCCAGCAGCCGCGGUAAUACGGAGGGUGCGAGCGUUAAUCGGAAUUACUGGGCGUAAAGCGCACGCAGGCGGUCUGUUAAGCUAGAUGUGAAAGCCCCGCGCUCAACGUGGGAGGGUCAUUUAGAACUGGCAGACUAGAGUCUUGGAGAGGGGAGUGGAAUUCCAGGUGUAGCGGUGAAAUGCGUAGAGAUCUGGAGGAACAUCAAUGGCGAAGGCAACUCCCUGGCCAAAGACUGACGCUCAUGUGCGAAAGUGUGGGUAGCGAACAGGAUUAGAUACCCUGGUAGUCCACACCGUAAACGAUGUCUACUAGCCGUUGGGAGACUUGAUCUUUUAGUGGCGCAGCUAACGCGAUAAGUAGACCGCCUGGGGAGUACGGCCGCAAGGUUA